Molecule: ribosomal RNA, 200 nt
Filed under: uncultured bacterium
Lineage: Bacteria
Description: partial 16S ribosomal RNA
Rfam family: Bacterial small subunit ribosomal RNA
Source: RNAcentral
AUUGAACGCUGGCGGCAGGCCUAACACAUGCGAGUCGAGCGCGAAAGUUCUUCGGAAUGAGUAAAGCGGCGGACGGGUGAGUAAUACAUGGGAAUCUGCCUGGUAGUGGGGGACAACGUUUCGAAAGGAACGCUAAUACCGCAUACGCCCUACGGGGAAAGGGGGGAGUCUUCGGACCUCUCGCUAUCAGAUGAGCCCAU